CACCAGGGUACCCACCGCUUCAGCGCCAAAACGAUCUGAGCUCGUCAAAACUAACUGCUUCAUCAAAAGAAGUGCACACACAGGAAAAGCUACAGGUUUUUACACACAAAAAGACAAACUUAGUGGAACUGAAUCUUGAUGAUGCUGUGUGGAUAGGAAUCAGCACUGAGAACACUGGG
This is a long non-coding RNA of Meriones unguiculatus (Mongolian gerbil), 179 nucleotides long. RefSeq lists it as uncharacterized. The record is from RefSeq and is a predicted model, not a curated record. The transcript has 3 exons. Lineage: Eukaryota; Metazoa; Chordata; Mammalia; Rodentia; Muridae.